This 586-nucleotide long non-coding RNA is filed under the name Spirodela polyrhiza (greater duckweed). RNAcentral describes it as "long non-coding RNA (SPOL_LNC000802)". Lineage: Eukaryota; Viridiplantae; Streptophyta; Magnoliopsida; Alismatales; Araceae. The record is from RNAcentral.
GCCAGGAAUAAGUCUUGCAGUUGAGGGAUAGAAGUCAACGAGCGGCAGACGUGGAGGCACCCCUGCCGCUCGUGUGCUUCGAUGGGCGCGGUCAAGUCGUAGCGACGCGGAGAGAUAAAUAAAGGAGGCUUUUAUAUUAAAAGACCGCACCGCGGCCGGGGUCUGGGACGACGGCGGUGUACAUACCGCCCGGGCCAGGAGAACCGUUACAACUUCUCCACGGUCGCCGGGUAGGAGGGAGGACAUCAAGAAGGAAACAAAGACCGAGAGUCAGGACACUCCGUUAUUGGAAGCACGGAAGGGGCGGUGGCGGCGGCGGCAGCGGCGGUGGCGGCGCCGCCUCGCGCGCUGGCUCGCUAGGCCGUGGGCGUCCAGCUCUCGAACUUGCCGGCGACGAAGUCGUAGUACCCUCCGAUGAUGGAGAGGGUCUUGUUUUGGAUUCCCUCCUUCACGAAGGGGUACGUGAGGAGGUUCUCGAGGGAGACGUCCACCGCCACCUGAGAGAAUGAAGAAGAAGAUGAUCGCGAUGACGAUGACGAUGACGAAGAAGAAGAAGAAGAAGAAGAAGCGGCACGCUUUCUCACCU